UACAGAGGUCCCAAGCGUUUGUUCGGAUUUAUUGGGCGCAAAGGGUGCGUAGGCGGCGGAGUAAGUUGGGUGUGAAAUCCCGGGGCUCAACCUCGGAAUUGCAUUCAAUACUGCUUCGCUCGAGUACUGGAGAGGAGGCUGGAAUUUACGGUGUAGCAGUGAAAUGCGUAGAUAUCGUAAGGAAGGCCGGUGGCGAAAGCGAGCCUCUGGACAGUUACUGACGCUGAUGCACGAAGGCCAGGGGAGCAAACGGGG
This 255-nucleotide ribosomal RNA is filed under the name uncultured bacterium. RNAcentral's name for it is "partial 16S ribosomal RNA". It matches the Rfam family "Bacterial small subunit ribosomal RNA", at positions 524 to 777 of the family's 1533-position model. The record is from RNAcentral.